AAGAAAGACAGAAAGAAGGGGAAAGGAAAAGAGAGAGCGGGUGUUCCACUCAAAUGUUCAAUGAAUGUUCCUUCUUUCUAUCAUCUGUCUUUGAUCCUCUAUUUAUC
RNAcentral lists this non-coding RNA (107 nucleotides) under Chromera velia. Lineage: Eukaryota; Chromeraceae. The record is from RNAcentral.